CCUACGGGAGGCAGCAGUGGGGGAUAUUGCACAAUGGGGGAAACCCUUAUGCAGCGACGCCGCGUGUGUGAAGACGGUCCUCUGGAUUGUAAACCACUGUCCCCAGGGACGAAGAUGACGGUACCUGGGGAUGAAGCUCCGGCUAACUACGUGCCAGCAGCCGCGGUAAUACGUAGGGAGCCAGCGUUGUCCGUAAUUACUGUGUGUAAAUGGAUCGUAGGCGGGACUGGAAGUUGGGGGUAAAAUCUACCGGCUCAACCGGUAGCCGCACUCAAAACUGAAGUUCUUGAGUGAAGUAGAGGCAGGCGGAAUUCCUAGUGUAGCGGUGAAAUGCGUAGAGAUUAGGAGGAACACCAGUGGCGAAGGCGGCCUGCUGGGC
This 379-nucleotide ribosomal RNA is filed under the name uncultured bacterium. Its description in RNAcentral is "partial 16S ribosomal RNA". It matches the Rfam family "Bacterial small subunit ribosomal RNA", at positions 338 to 734 of the family's 1533-position model. The record is from RNAcentral.